Molecule: long non-coding RNA, 476 nt
Filed under: Selaginella moellendorffii
Lineage: Eukaryota; Viridiplantae; Streptophyta; Lycopodiopsida; Selaginellales; Selaginellaceae
Description: long non-coding RNA (SMOE_LNC001507)
Source: RNAcentral
GACGAGAUGUGGCUGUAGCAUUUUCGCGAGUGGCAAGUAACUUCUUUUUGGAGUUUCUAGCAUUCUUUUAUAACGCACAGUCUUCCUGCUUCAAGACGCACGUAAAGAGAAUGAGGCCAGGGAUAAUAAACCAAGAGCAGCAAACCUUUCGAGCUCGGGAGGAUGGCUUUGUUCUUGGGCUCCUUGAAAACUUCGAUCCUGGCCUUCGUCGUCACAGCAGCUGUGCUCCAACAAGUUAGCGCUGUAAGUUUGAUGCUUGAUAAUCACCGCAUCACUUCUUGACGUCUUGUCUCGUCUCUGUGGCUUGCAGAACUGCGAUGUCAAAACUUUCAACAGUACCGAGUGCCGGGACAUCCACUACGACAGCAUCGAAGAUUACCUCUACGUGACUUGCCGCGCGCACGGCAACUGGUUUAGUGACCGCUACCACCUCCAGGUUCUCUUGCAGUACGAGAACAACGAGCUCCAGUGCGGGG